RNAcentral lists this non-coding RNA (85 nucleotides) under uncultured Paenibacillus sp. RNAcentral describes it as "Purine riboswitch". The stretch from base 15 to 83 matches the Rfam family "2dG-II purine riboswitch aptamer". From Rfam's summary of the family: Purine riboswitch variant that recognize 2'-deoxyguanosine The record is from RNAcentral. Lineage: Bacteria; Bacillati; Bacillota; Bacilli; Caryophanales; Paenibacillaceae.
ACAAAAUUGAAUGCUUUUCGUAUAAUUCCGGGGAUUGGCCCGGAAGUUUCUACGAGGUCACCGUAAUGAUCUGGCUACGAAAAGA